Molecule: ribosomal RNA, 1356 nt
Filed under: Stygiocaris lancifera
Lineage: Eukaryota; Metazoa; Arthropoda; Malacostraca; Decapoda; Atyidae
Description: 16S ribosomal RNA
Rfam family: Bacterial large subunit ribosomal RNA (bases 907-1278)
Source: RNAcentral
GCCUGAAAUUGUGUGUUGCUUGGUUUAAAUUAGUGAACAAUUGUUUAUUUAUUUUGGUUUUAAAAUUAAGUGUUUAAAGAAUUAGUUUGUUUUAUUGUAAAAGUAAGUUUUAUAGAAAUUAUAUUUUAAACUAUAGUGUAUGAGGUACUGUGAAGGAAAUUUAGUGUAGUUGUUAAAAAGAAGAUUUUAAAUUUCGUACCUUUAGUAUCAGGGGUUAUUUAUUUGUUUUGAAAAGUUUCUAGGUUCCCGAAAUAAAGUGAUCUAAUUUGUUAAAAGUAUUUAUGUAGAAAAAUAAAACUUAAUAAUUUAUUAGUGGUGAUAUGUUAGUCGAACUUUAUAUAUCUGGUUGCUUCUGAAUUAAUUUUAAUUUAGUUUUUGCAGAGUUUUGUUGUGAAAUCAAAUACUUAGGGGGAAGAGCUUCUAGGUUAGAAGUUAAGUAAAAUAUAUGUUUGCUUGAAAAAUGAGUUUAGGCUUAGAAUCAGCCAUAAUAUCAGGUCGUUAUAGUAGAUAUUUGUGAAGUUGGUGUUUUAAGGGUGGUUUACUUUUAGGUAAGGAGUUAAUUGUAUAAAUUUUUACUAUUGUGAAAUAGUGAUUAUAUUAGUAUAGUUUAUUGUGAAGAUUGUGGUGUCUAGGAAUUAUUUUGGUUUUUAAGUAAUUUAAGGUGUGCCUAAGUAACUCGACAAAGGUUGCACCCACCUGUUUAACAAAAACAUGUCUAUGAGAAUAAAAUUUUUAGUCUGGCCUGCCCGCUGAAGGUUUUUAAAGGGCCGCGGUAUUUGGACCGUGCUAAGGUAGCAUAAUCAAUAGUCUUUUAAUUGGAGUCUAGUAUGAAUGGUUGGAUGAGGUGUAAUUUGUCUUCAGGUGUAUUACUUGAAUUUUACUUUUAAGUGAAAAGGCUUAAAUUUUGUGAGGGGACGAUAAGACCCUAUGAAGCUUUAUAUUAUGAGUUUUUAUAUCUAAUAGUGUUGUGUUUAGGUUAAUAAUUUGGUAAUAUUGUGUUGGGGCGACAGAAAUAUAAUAUUAACUGUUUUUAUAAGUAAAAUAAUAAUUUUUAGUUUGUUGAUCCUGUGUUUGUGGAUUAAAAGAUUUAAUGUUACUCUAGGGAUAACAGCGUAAUUUUUCUUGAGAGUUCUUAUCGACAGAAAUAUUUGCGACCUCGAUGUUGAAUUAAGAUUUCCCCAUGGUGUAGAAGUUAUGGAGGUAGGUCUGUUCGACCUUUAAAAUUUUACAUGAUUUGAGUUCAGACCGGCGUGAGCCAGGUUAGUUUCUAUCUUUUACUUUUUGAGUGACUGUUCUAGUACGAAAGGAGUGGGCGGUUGAAAUAUUUUCUUAUAUUUGAUUUACUUUAAAUUAUCU